This is a long non-coding RNA of Schistocerca cancellata (South American locust), 473 nucleotides long. RefSeq lists it as uncharacterized. The transcript is spliced from 3 exons. Lineage: Eukaryota; Metazoa; Arthropoda; Insecta; Orthoptera; Acrididae. The record is from RefSeq and is a predicted model, not a curated record.
CGAAUAAGGGAAGCGCGGGCGGCCAGAUAGCGAGAGAGCAGAAGCCCGGAGCCCAGGGCCCAGCGCACCGCAGCACGCCACGGCCGCGGCGUGCCCGCCUGCAGCCAGCCGCCAGCAGCCGCUUUUCAUGUUGAUACGAGCAUCUCCAGUUGAGGCCAUUCUACAGCUUGAAUGUUAGUGGUACAGCGCACAUAAGAAAUUAUUUUCAUUUGGCCUCUCGAGAAUGAUGGAGUCAGUUUCAAACUUUCUAGCUCACAGAAGAUUGGAGGGGAACUACAUGAAUCGAGCUGGAAUCUCCAAGACAGCAACCACUAAUAUUUGUGUAACAUAGUGAGUGGAGCUGUGGAUGCUACAGAAUGGAGUGCCAAGUGUGGAAAGCGGAACAUUUGCGACAUAGUCUUCUGUUUGAGUUCAAGAGAGGGACGCAGGCAGAAAUAUUUGCUCAGUGUACGGGGAUAGCGCCACUGGACACA